UGGGGAAUUUUGGACAAUGGGCGAAAGCCUGAUCCAGCAAUGCCGCGUGUGUGAAGAAGGCCUUCGGGUUGUAAAGCACUUUUGUCCGGAAAGAAAUCCUUGGCUCUAAUACAGUCGGGGGAUGACGGUACCGGAAGAAUAAGCACCGGCUAACUACGUGCCAGCAGCCGCGGUAAUACGUAGGGUGCAAGCGUUAAUCGGAAUUACUGGGCGUAAAGCGUGCGCAGGCGGUUUGCUAAGACCGAUGUGAAAUCCCCGGGCUCAACCUGGGAACUGCAUUGGUGACUGGCGGGCUAGAGUAUGGCAGAGGGGGGUAGAAUUCCACGUGUAGCAGUGAAAUGCGUAGAGAUGUGGAGGAAUACCGAUGGCGAAGGCAGCCCCCUGGGCCAAUACUGACGCUCAUGCACGAAAGCGUGGGGAGCAAACAGGAUUAGAUACCCUGGUAGUCCACGCCCUAAACGAUGUCAACUAGUUGUUGGGGAUUCAUUUCCUUAGUAACGUAGCUAACGCGUGAAGUUGACCGCCUGGGGAGUACGGUCGCAAGAUUAAAACUCAAAUGAAUUGACGGGGUCAUAGC
Molecule: ribosomal RNA, 577 nt
Filed under: uncultured bacterium
Lineage: Bacteria
Description: partial 16S ribosomal RNA
Rfam family: Bacterial small subunit ribosomal RNA
Source: RNAcentral